GGGCAGCCUGAUGCAGCACGCCGCGUGCGGGAAGACAGCCCUAGGGUUGUAAACCGCUUUCAGUAGGGAAGAAACUGACGGUACCUACAGAAGAAGGUGCGGCCAACUACUUGCCACCAGCCGCGGUGACACGUAGGCACCAAGCGUUAUCCGGAUUUAUUGGGCGUAAAGAGCUCGUUAGUGCGGUAUUAGUAAGUCUGGUGUGAAAACUCUGGGCUUAACCCGCACACGCCACUCAAUACUGCCUAUGACUUGAUGCUACGGGAGGGGAGCGGGGAACUCCUGGAUGUAUGUCGAGCUGCAACAUAGCUUCACGUAUAUCAGCGCAUAGCAACGACUCGUGUGAGCGAAGAGCUGACCUCUCUGAGGCCGUAUAUCGUGACGCUGAUGAGCGAAAGCGUGCUGGCAAACAGGAUUAGAUACCCUGGUAGGCCACGCCGUAAACUGUUGGUCACUACGGUGUGGCGUUUUCUACUAACAGAUUAAAACUCUGAUGAAUUCACGGAA
RNAcentral lists this ribosomal RNA (507 nucleotides) under uncultured Ilumatobacter sp. RNAcentral's name for it is "bacterial SSU rRNA". It matches the Rfam family "Bacterial small subunit ribosomal RNA", at positions 373 to 918 of the family's 1533-position model. The record is from RNAcentral. Lineage: Bacteria; Bacillati; Actinomycetota; Acidimicrobiia; Acidimicrobiales; Ilumatobacteraceae.